This 433-nucleotide ribosomal RNA is filed under the name uncultured bacterium. RNAcentral describes it as "partial 16S ribosomal RNA". It matches the Rfam family "Bacterial small subunit ribosomal RNA", at positions 30 to 507 of the family's 1533-position model. The record is from RNAcentral.
AACGAACGCUGGCGGCAUGCCUAACACAUGCAAGUCGAACGAGAUCUUCGGAUCUAGUGGCGCACGGGUGCGUAACGCGUGGGAAUCUGCCCCUUGCUUCGGAAUAACAGUGAGAAAUUACUGCUAAUACCGGAUGAUGUCUUCGGACCAAAGAUUUAUCGGCAAGGGAUGAGCCCGCGUAGGAUUAGGUAGUUGGUGGGGUAAUGGCCUACCAAGCCGACGAUCCUUAGCUGGUCUGAGAGGAUGAUCAGCCACACUGGGACUGAGACACGGCCCAGACUCAUACGGGAGGAAGAAGGGGGAAUUAUGGAACAAGGGGAGAAAGCCUGACCAAGAAAGCCGGGGGGAGGAAAGAGGGCUUUAGGGUUGAAAAGCUUUUUUACCAGGGAGAAAAAGGAGAGUCCCUGGAAAAAAAGCCCGGGCAAACCCGGGG